Molecule: small nuclear RNA, 107 nt
Organism: Suncus etruscus (white-toothed pygmy shrew)
Lineage: Eukaryota; Metazoa; Chordata; Mammalia; Eulipotyphla; Soricidae
Source: RefSeq, a predicted model, not a curated record
GUGCUCGCUUUGGCAGCACAUAUACUAAAAUUGGAGAGAUACAGAGAAGAUUAGCAUUGCUUCUGUGCAAGGAUGACAUGCAAAUUUGUGGUCAAAUGCCACUUUCA